RNAcentral lists this transfer RNA (72 nucleotides) under Ictidomys tridecemlineatus (thirteen-lined ground squirrel). RNAcentral's name for it is "Spermophilus tridecemlineatus (thirteen-lined ground squirrel) tRNA". It matches the Rfam family "tRNA". From Rfam's summary of the family: Transfer RNA (tRNA) molecules are approximately 80 nucleotides in length. Their secondary structure includes four short double-helical elements and three loops (D, anti-codon, and T loops). Lineage: Eukaryota; Metazoa; Chordata; Mammalia; Rodentia; Sciuridae. The record is from Rfam by way of RNAcentral.
GGUGUUGUAGCUCAGUGGUAGAGUGCUUGUCUCACAUGCAUGAGGCCCUGGGUUCAAUCCUCAGCACCACAU